This is an RNA transcript of Tripterygium wilfordii, 1422 nucleotides long. It is a transcript of the gene named OVARIAN TUMOR DOMAIN-containing deubiquitinating enzyme 1-like, with no coding region annotated. The transcript is spliced from 11 exons. The record is from RefSeq and is a predicted model, not a curated record. NCBI's taxonomy places the organism in Eukaryota, Viridiplantae, Streptophyta, Magnoliopsida, Celastrales, Celastraceae.
ACGGAGCCCUAAAGAAAGCUAAAAAGCGCAGAGAGACCGAGAGAGCGUCCCAUUCGAAAAUCGCUUUGGCAAGAAAGGUGUGUAUUGUUCAUUUGUUGCUCGCUCCCUCUUGAAAAGCAAAAGCAAACCGGUAUCCAGUAUCCACAACCGCAGGAGAUCGGGCGGAGCUUCAAGUCACUGCGGAAAACUCACCGGUUCGGAGAAACACGGAUCAACGACGGUCUCGAUCUCGUGAGGAUGGAGAAACAGGAGACACAGGUCGCGGAUGGGGAGAAGGAACCUAAAGUGUCAAUUGAAGCAUCACAUUUUGAUGAUUGGGAGACUUUUGCUGACGAGAACAUCAUGCAGCAGCAAUAUGAUAUUCAGGCAGAGGAGGCAGUCAAAGCUCCAUUCGUUGGCGACAAGGAACCUCUCUCUUCAUUAGCCGCUGAAUAUCAAUCUGGCAGCCCAAUUUUGCUGGAAAAGAUUAAGGUGCUUGGGGAACAGUAUGCUGCCAUUAGGCGGGCACGGGGAGAUGGGAACUGCUUCUUUCGAAGCUUUAUGUUCUCAUAUCUCGAGCACAUUCUGGAUUCACAAGACAAAGCAGAAGUUGCUCGGAUUAAGGAAAAUGUUGAAAAAUGUAGAAAAACUCUUCAGAGCCUGGGUUAUGCAGACUUCACAUUUGAGGAUUUUUUCUCACUAUUUCUUGAGCAGCUGGACAGUGUCCUUCAGGGAAGCGAUACUUCAAUAAGUCCUGAUGAGCUCAUACUUCGCUGUCGGGAUCAGUCGGUAUCUGACUAUGUUGUAAUGUUUUUCAGAUUUGUUACCUCUGGUGAAAUACGAAACCGCUCCGAGUUUUUCGAACCAUUUAUACUGGGAUUAACAAAUUCAACCGUUGAACAGUUUUGCAAGUCAUCUGUGGAACCAAUGGGUGAAGAGAGUGAUCACGUGCACAUUACUGCCCUGUCUGAUGCACUGGGAGUGCCAGUCCGUGUAGUUUACCUAGAUCGGAGCUCCUGUGAUUCUGGUGGCACUAGUGUUAAUCAUCACGAUUUUAUUCCUGCUACUGGGGAUCUUCCAAAUGCUGCUAGCGGUAACUCUGAGACUGUUAAGCCCUUCAUUACUCUGCUGUAUCGACCCGGGCACUAUGAUAUUCUCUACCCAAAGUGAUACUUUCACCAGUUGUGGUAGAUCUAAGUUUGUGGGCGGACUCAUCUUCACAGGAUAAAGCUCGUUUUGGAGACUGUCUCGUGUACUAUGAAUAGAAGUUAGUGGCUUCAUUUCACGGACUUAGAAUUAGGGACUCUAUCCUGUGUUGAUUUGGUGUUUAAUUGCACACGCUGUCAAACGAAUCUCCGAUGGCUAAUAUGGUAUUAUUAUUAUCUACCAUGGCACUUUGAAGUGAUGAAUAUGUAUUGCCAGUAGGUGGAACUAAAUAUCUUA